CUCCAUUCCCACACAGUAAUUGCACUUCAAAAGACAAGAGAGUGACAAAGUAUGUUCAAUUUUUUUCGUUUUUAUUCUUGAACUGAUUUUGGUUAGACUCUCCAGUUUUACAUUGUUUUUUGUACAAAGUUGAAAAAGUCAGUUCCACUUUAUAAUUUUUCCACCUAAACAUUCACCUAUUACCACAAAUCCAACAUGUCUAAAACCAAAUUUACUAUCUUCCUUCAGUCAGACUAGUUCUGCACUUCAACUUCCUUGCACCUGUCUUCCAGCCAAAUCAGCUGGAAAGCUUACGCCUUGGAUGAAUGAUGUAAUACAUAGAAGGGAUGGGUAUAAGGCAUUUCAAGGAGGAUCAACAAGACUUGGUGACUGACUCAGAGGAGGCAGUUAAGGCCUGAUUCCACGACGAUUACCACCCAUCCUGCCCCUCACCUUCUCCUUGUCCUCCUCAACUCCACUCUCUUUCUCCUCUACCAAGGCUAAAGUGGCAGCCUGAAUGUCUAGGCCCGCCAUAAUCUGACCCUAACCAAUUGCCGUGGACUUUUCCACUUUUCCUAAAUGGUAUAUCCUAAUCCUACCCAUUCUCAAGGCCCAACCCAAGAACCAAAUCUUCCAUAAAAACUUGCUCUUCUAGAAUUCUAGAAUCUCAGGAUUGUAAGAGGAGAGGCUUCUAUUCUGAUUUCCUUUGUUCACAAAGGCACUAGCAACCAGAGGUCUUGGCAUGGGAUUUCAUCAGUGCGUCAGUUCUGUGAGCCUCGUCUUCCAACCGAACUGUCAGCUCUGUAAGGGAAAGAUAAUCCCUCAGCAUUUGCCGUGUCUGCACCCUCACUCCUGCCCCACUGAAAUCAAGGGAGAAUAGCAUCUGCUCUCCUUCAAGAACAACAACCAAAAGUAGGCGGAGGUGGCCGCGCGGUGACUUACACCUGUGAUCUCAGCACUUUGGGAGGCCAAAGCGGGGGGGAUCACGAGGUCAGGAAAUAGAGACCAUCCUGGCUAACACGGUGAAACCCCGUCUCUACUAAAAAUACAAAAACAAAAUUAGCAGGGCGUGGUGGCGGGCGCGUGUAGUCCCAGCUAAUUUGGAGGCUGAGGCAGGAGAAUGGCGUGAACCCGGGAGGUGGAGCUUGCAGUGAGCUGGGAUUGCACCACUGCACUCCAGUCUGGGUGACAGAGUGAGACUCUAUCUCAAAAAAAAAAAAAAAGUUGGUGGAGUCCUAUCCCAAACUGAAUUUUUGUGUGGGUGAUCACCUCUCCUAUUUGCCCUCUGGGCUACCCCUAUA
Molecule: long non-coding RNA, 1280 nt
Filed under: Macaca mulatta (Rhesus monkey)
Lineage: Eukaryota; Metazoa; Chordata; Mammalia; Primates; Cercopithecidae
Description: lncRNA (ENSMMUG00000051767.1)
Source: RNAcentral